Molecule: long non-coding RNA, 636 nt
Organism: Corythoichthys intestinalis (scribbled pipefish)
Lineage: Eukaryota; Metazoa; Chordata; Actinopteri; Syngnathiformes; Syngnathidae
Exons: 2
Source: RefSeq, a predicted model, not a curated record
UGUGUGUUUUGUUUUUGGCGAACUUUUUCAUGAAGCUAAACUGUUGAAGCUACUCACACGUGGAAAAAUACGAUUGUACAACAUUUUAAAUGUAUUCAUUUGGUAUAUUUCAGUUACCGCGAUUUGAGAGCUCAACAAAUUGAAGAAAAGUACGCCUUGUGUUUGGAGUGUUUGUUUUUGGGUUUGCUGGAAUAGCUGACACACGCAGCAUCAAACAGGGGAAGGGCCGCUCCAACAGUCGGGUGUUGACGGCGCUCAGCUCAGAGUUCCUGACACUCAGACUCUCGACCUCCUGCCGGCCGGUCUCGUCAUGUCGCGUCAUCUCCUCAGACUUCCUCCUGAAAGAAGCGCCAAAGUCAGCCAAAGAGUGGGCGAGGUCGGCCGCCCGGCGGAGUCUAAAGGUCACUGGCCUCUUGUCGGUGACCCCCUGGUCCAGCCGCAGGAUGCAAAGCCGCUCCUGUAAAGCGACGUUGUCAGAGCGCGCCUCUUCCAGCUGGCUCCUGCGCACAGUAAACUCAUUGAGAUUCACAGCAGAAGCCCCUACCAACAUUGCCACCUUGUGGCAACGUUCCCAUCAGAGUCAAUGCAUUGACAUUCAAAUAAAGUCACAACUAGCUUAAUUUUAUCAAUAUCAAA